GAUGAACGCUGGCGGCGUGCCUAAUACAUGCAAGUCGAGCGAACAGACGAGGAGCUUGCUCCUCUGACGUUAGCGGCGGACGGGUGAGUAACACGUGGAUAACCUACCUAUAAGACUGGGAUAACUUCGGGAAACCGGAGCUAAUACCGGAUAAUAUAUUGAACCGCAUGGUUCAAUAGUGAAAGACGGUUUUGCUGUCACUUAUAGAUGGAUCCGCGCCGCAUUAGCUAGUUGGUAAGGUAACGGCUUACCAAGGCGACGAUGCGUAGCCGACCUGAGAGGGUGAUCGGCCACACUGGAACUGAGGCACGGUCAAGACUCCUACGGGAGGCAGCAGUAGGGAAUCUUCCGCAAUGGGCGAAAGCCUGACGGAGCAACGCCGCGUGAGUGAUGAAGGUCUUCGGAUCGUAAAACUCUGUUAUUAGGGAAGAACAAAUGUGUAAGUAACUAUGCACGUCUUGACGGUACCUAAUCAGAAAGCCACGGCUAACUACGUG
This 497-nucleotide ribosomal RNA is filed under the name uncultured bacterium. RNAcentral describes it as "partial 16S ribosomal RNA". It matches the Rfam family "Bacterial small subunit ribosomal RNA", at positions 28 to 507 of the family's 1533-position model. The record is from RNAcentral.